AAUAGAUACCCAGGUAGUCCACGCCGUAAACGAUGAGUGCUAAGUGUUGGAGGGUUUCCGCCCUUCAGUGCUGCAGCUAACGCAUUAAGCACUCCGCCUGGGGAGUACGGUCGCAAGACUGAAACUCAAAGGAAUUGACGGGGGCCCGCACAAGCGGUGGAGCAUGUGGUUUAAUUCGAAGCAACGCGAAGAACCUUACCAGGUCUUGACAUCUCCUGACCGCCCUGGAGACAGGGUCUUCCCUUCGGGGACAGGAUGACAGGUGGUGCAUGGUUGUCGUCAGCUCGUGUCGUGAGAUGUUGGGUUAAGUCCCGCAACGAGCGCAACCCUUGGUUCUAGUUGCCAGCAUUCAGUUGGGCACUCUAGAGCGACUGCCGGCGACAAGUCGGAGGAGGGUGGGGAUGACGUCAAAUCAUCAUGCCCCUUAUGACCUGGGCUACACACGUGCUACAAUGGAUGGUACAAAGGGCAGCGAAGCGGCGACGCAUGAGCGAAUCCCAGAAAACCAUUCUCAGUUC
RNAcentral lists this ribosomal RNA (518 nucleotides) under uncultured bacterium. RNAcentral describes it as "bacterial SSU rRNA". It matches the Rfam family "Bacterial small subunit ribosomal RNA", at positions 777 to 1294 of the family's 1533-position model. The record is from RNAcentral.